AACGAAACUUCUUUAUCACCGAGUGCUUGCACCCACCGAUAAAGAGUUGAGUGGCGAACGGGUGAGUAACACGUGGGCAACCUGCCCAAAAGAGGGGGAUAGCACUUGGAAACAGGUGCUAAUACCGCAUAACCAUAGUUACCGCAUGGUAACUAUGUAAAAGGUGGCUAUGCUACCGCUUUUGGAUGGGCCCGCGGCGCAUUAGCUAGUUGGUGGGGUAAAGGCUUACCAAGGCAAUGAUGCGUAGCCGAACUGAGAGGUUGAUCGGCCACAUUGGGACUGAGACACGGCCCAAACUCCUACGGGAGGCAGCAGUAGGGAAUCUUCCACAAUGGGCGAAAGCCUGAUGGAGCAACGCCGCGUGGGUGAAG
Molecule: ribosomal RNA, 371 nt
Filed under: uncultured bacterium
Lineage: Bacteria
Description: bacterial SSU rRNA
Rfam family: Bacterial small subunit ribosomal RNA
Source: RNAcentral